Molecule: ribosomal RNA, 253 nt
Filed under: uncultured bacterium
Lineage: Bacteria
Description: partial 16S ribosomal RNA
Rfam family: Bacterial small subunit ribosomal RNA
Source: RNAcentral
UACGUAGGGCGCAAGCGUUGUCCGGAAUUAUUGGGCGUAAAGAGCUCGUAGGUGGCUUGUCGCGUCGGGUGUGAAAGCUUGGGGCUUAACUCCAGGUCUGCAUUCGAUACGGGCUGGCUAGAGGUAGGCAGGGGAGAACGGAAUUCCUGGUGUAGCGGUGAAAUGCGCAGAUAUCAGGAGGAACACCGGUGGCGAAGGCGGUUCUCUGGGCCUAUCCUGACGCUGAGGAGCGAAAGCGUGGGGAGCGAACAGG